This 269-nucleotide ribosomal RNA is filed under the name uncultured prokaryote. RNAcentral describes it as "partial 16S ribosomal RNA". It matches the Rfam family "Bacterial small subunit ribosomal RNA", at positions 524 to 792 of the family's 1533-position model. The record is from RNAcentral.
UACGUAGGAGGCGAGCGUUAUCCGGAUUUACUGGGCAUAAAGAGCGCGUAGGUGGCCUUUCAAGUCGGAUGUAAAAUCUCCCGGCUCAACUGGGAGGGACCAUUCGAUACUGUUGGGCUAGAGGGCAGCAGAGGAAGGUGGAAUUCCCGGUGUAGUGGUGAUAUGCGUAGAUAUCGGGAGGAACACCCGUGGCGAAGGCGACCUUCUGGGCUGUUCCUGACACUGAGGCGCGAAAGCGUGGGGAGCGAACAGGAUUAGAUACCCCAGUA